Molecule: ribosomal RNA, 301 nt
Filed under: uncultured bacterium
Lineage: Bacteria
Description: partial 16S ribosomal RNA
Rfam family: Bacterial small subunit ribosomal RNA
Source: RNAcentral
CAGUCGCCGCGGUAAUACGUAGGUGGCAAGCGUUGUCCGGAAUUAUUGGGCGUAAAGGGCUCGCAGGCGGUUUCUUAAGUCUGAUGUGAAAGCCCCCGGCUCAACCGGGGAGGGUCAUUGGAAACUGGGAAAACUUGAGUGCAGAAGAGGAGAGUGGAAUUCCACGUGUAGCGGUGAAAUGCGUAGAGAUGUGGAGGAACACCAGUGGCGAAGGCGACUCUCUGGUCUGUAACUGACGCUGAGGAGCGAAAGCGUGGGGAGCGAACAGGAUUAGAUACCCCAGUAGUCCCUGUCUCUUAUU